This 85-nucleotide ribosomal RNA is filed under the name Staphylococcus felis. Its description in RNAcentral is "partial 16S ribosomal RNA". It matches the Rfam family "Bacterial small subunit ribosomal RNA", at positions 1 to 84 of the family's 1533-position model. The record is from RNAcentral. Lineage: Bacteria; Bacillati; Bacillota; Bacilli; Caryophanales; Staphylococcaceae.
UAAUAUGGAGAGUUUGAUCCUGGCUCAGGAUGAACGCUGGCGGCGUGCCUAAUACAUGCAAGUCGAGCGAACUGAAGAGGAGCUU